AGGGAUGUGGCUUAGUGGUAGAGUGCUUGCCUAGCAUUUAAGACCUUGGGUUCCAUCCACAGGACCCAUA
RNAcentral lists this transfer RNA (70 nucleotides) under Marmota monax (woodchuck). RNAcentral describes it as "tRNA.Ala". The record is from RNAcentral. Lineage: Eukaryota; Metazoa; Chordata; Mammalia; Rodentia; Sciuridae.